AGAACCUCGAGGAAGGGUCAAGUGAAGACAUUGGAUAAGCUCCAGACAGAAUUAGUCCAUCCAGAUCAUCAGAAUGGCAAAGGCUCCCUGUCUUCAUUCACUCAUUGCAGCUGGUUUGAAACUAGGCCAGCAAUAAUGGCACAACACUCACAGUUCUAAGUUCAAGCACUGAGGU
Molecule: long non-coding RNA, 175 nt
Organism: Pogoniulus pusillus (Red-fronted tinkerbird)
Lineage: Eukaryota; Metazoa; Chordata; Aves; Piciformes; Lybiidae
Exons: 3
Source: RefSeq, a predicted model, not a curated record